Molecule: long non-coding RNA, 1198 nt
Filed under: Callithrix jacchus (white-tufted-ear marmoset)
Lineage: Eukaryota; Metazoa; Chordata; Mammalia; Primates; Cebidae
Description: lncRNA (ENSCJAG00000086081.1)
Source: RNAcentral
UCGAAGCCUGGCAGAUGAAGGCAAGCGGCCAAGCUGGGGACAUGAUGAGCCUGCCUCAGGGACUCGCAGACCUGCUGAGUCCUGGGAGUCCCGUAGGCCCCCCCAUAGCUGUCACCACCAUUUCCCAAGGCCCUUCCAGCGUCUGCAAUGAUAUCACAAUGGCAGGUGGAAUCCUGCCCUGGACUCAGCAAAGAUGAGACCCCUGCCCCUCAAGAGCACAAUGUCUGUGGGGGCUGGGGAGGAGUUCUCACCAGCUCCUUCCAGUCACCAGCCAAGGGAGCCCCUGCAUGUUCCCUUCCCCUACCCCAGCCCCCAGCCCAGGGCUGAGCAGGCAAUGCUUACUUUCCUGCAGCCCCAGCAGGCCCUCCCGGGGUGCUGAUGACAUCAGUGUAAAACCCAUCACCAAGUUGAUGGUCCCUGGCCCCAAUUGCUCGAUGCUUCCAGCCAGUGGCCACACAGGCUCCAUACCCGCCGCUACCUCAUCCACCCCGACACUGGGUGGGUGCUGCCCGAGGCUGGACACCUGGGAUGUGAUCUGCUGAGAGCUACCCUGGUGCCCACUGUGGACUCCAUUGCGGGUGGCAUCCGAACAUCAGAAGCUGCCAUUCUGCCCUAUGUGCCCUACCCAACCAGUCCAGCCACAGGUUCCUCUCCAGCCACGCACCUGCCCAUCCUGCAGCCAAGAAGGACGUCCCAGUUGGGGGCUCUCAUGACAGACCCCAUCACAGGCAUCGAGGUGCCAGUGCUGGCUGUGACUCUGCACCCCCAAACAAGAGAGUGGCUCACUCUUGGAGGGACAUACUGCAAUCCUCUCACCAAGACCUUGGCCCCUCUUGAGAUGGGGGACCCCAUGGAGGACCCAGUCACAGGAGGCAUCUCGCCCAUCCUGGGAGUCGGGUUGGAUGAAAACACAGGUCAGCUGGGAAGGCUGCAAGAUGCUUUGGGGAACCUCAUGCUUCCUGGUGACAGCUUUGUGGAGCCAAUGAGUGGGAAGACAGUCUGGCUACAGAGGGCUUCUCAACAGGAGGGCCAGACAUUGCCCCAUAUGGGAGGGUCACAGGCCCUGCUGGACGCCAAUGUGCUGGUGGCCCAGAGGCAAGUGAUUGCAGUGCUCCAGCAGUGCCAGGCGAGUCCAGAGUCGGGGGUGCAGGGGCCUUUGGAGGCUACCAUCAAGGACAUAGACAGGCACUGGCCUUGA